This is a long non-coding RNA of Daucus carota subsp. sativus, 872 nucleotides long. RefSeq lists it as uncharacterized. Lineage: Eukaryota; Viridiplantae; Streptophyta; Magnoliopsida; Apiales; Apiaceae. The record is from RefSeq and is a predicted model, not a curated record. The transcript has 2 exons.
AAAUAACCGAAUUAUAUAUGUAUUAUUUUUAAAUUAUAAUAUAUAUGUAUAAUAUAGAAAUAGUUUAUGGAAUAAUAUAACAUACUUACCCAGAGAGUCUCAUACCAACACAUUUCUAACCUAAUUCCACGCAUCCGCCUCUCCCCUGGUACUCAGUCACUAGCUGCCGCUCGCCGAUUUCAAGAAUCCAUGUCUAGUAUUUAAGACUCAAAUCAAAGAUUCAAAGAUGGUGGCCGCAUAGCAGAUCCUGUUUUUGCUUGUUUUUCAGGAAAAUUCGGUUUUCUCAUAACCGAAACCGAAUUAACCGAAUUAUUUCGGUUCGGUUUCGGUUCGGUUUAAUAGAUAAUUCGGUUCGGUUCCGUUUAAUAAAAAAGUUACAUUUCGGUUUUCGGUUAUUUCGGUUCGGUUUUAGACCGAACCGACCGAAUGCUCAGCCUAAUUUUAGUAUUUUACAUAAACAAACUUGAUACUAUUUUAAGUAGCCAUAUGGCUAGUAAGGCAGUUGUUCUUACCACACCAUUUACACUUCUACGAUCAACUGUUCUAAUUUCUAGCUAAAACAACCUAAAGCAAGGUCAGAGGUUUUACGGUCUCCCAGAUUCGACAUCAACAUCUUGCAGCAGCGGCGGUGAGUUUAAAUUGUGACCUAGAGAUUUCAACAUAAGGUUAUUGUUAUUUCUCACAGCUUCGACAUCUCUCAGUGGUGGUUGCUGUGAAUUUGUGCGCAACUCUUCUAAUGCUUGAAAAUGUGCAUAAGGGCUCCACCCUGAAACAAUAUAAACGAAAUAUCACAUUGGAUGUUAAGCUUGUAGGCAGGUGAUAAUGACAAAGUAAACUAAACAUAAAUACGCAAGGCAUAGUAAUAUAUAUAU